This 71-nucleotide transfer RNA is filed under the name Fermentozyma sake. RNAcentral describes it as "[Candida] sake tRNA-Cys". It matches the Rfam family "tRNA". From Rfam's summary of the family: Transfer RNA (tRNA) molecules are approximately 80 nucleotides in length. Their secondary structure includes four short double-helical elements and three loops (D, anti-codon, and T loops). Further hydrogen bonds mediate the characteristic L-shaped molecular structure. tRNAs have two regions of fundamental functional importance: the anti-codon, which is responsible for specific mRNA codon recognition, and the 3' end, to which the tRNAs corresponding amino acid is attached (by aminoacyl-tRNA synthetases). tRNAs cope with the degeneracy of the genetic code in two manners: having more than one tRNA (with a specific anti-codon) for a particular amino acid; and 'wobble' base-pairing, i.e. permitting non-standard base-pairing at the 3rd anti-codon position. The record is from RNAcentral. Lineage: Eukaryota; Fungi; Ascomycota; Pichiomycetes; Serinales; Debaryomycetaceae.
CGUUGUUUAUCUACGGUUAGAUAUGCUGAUUGCAAAUCAGUCACCUUAGGGUUCAACUCCCUCAACGAUCU